This 468-nucleotide ribosomal RNA is filed under the name uncultured bacterium. RNAcentral's name for it is "partial 16S ribosomal RNA". It matches the Rfam family "Bacterial small subunit ribosomal RNA", at positions 28 to 507 of the family's 1533-position model. The record is from RNAcentral.
GACGAACGCUGGCGGCGUGCUUAACACAUGCAAGUCGAACGGUGAUGCUCCAGCUUGCUGGAGUGGAUCAGUGGCGAACGGGUGAGUAACACGUGAGCAACCUGCCCCAGUCUCUGGAAUAAGCGCUGGAAACGGCGUCUAAUACUGGAUACGAAACUGGCCCGCAUGGGCAUGGUUUGGAAAGUUUUUCGGUUUGGGAUGGGCUCGCGGCCUAUCAGCUUGUUGGUGAGGUAAUGGCUCACCAAGGCGACGACGGGUAGCCGGCCUGAGAGGGCGACCGGCCACACUGGGACUGAGACACGGCCCAGACUCCUACGGGAGGCAGCAGCGGGGAAUAUUGCACAAUGGGCGAAAGCCUGAUGCAGCGACGCCGCGUGAGGGAUGACGGCCUUCGGGUUGUAAACCUCUUUCAGCAGGGAAGAAGCGAAAGUGACGGUACCUGCAGAAGAAGCACCGGCUAACUACGUG